ACACACAAAUACACAUCAAUGUCCUCCAUUUUUAUUAGAUGUUAGGAUCUUUCUUCAGUGUUCGUUCCCUUUUCUUUUAUUAUCAAAAUAUUGAGUUAGUAUUUAGAUGUAGAUACUGAUUCUUAUUCUGUAAACAAUCAUCCGAAGACCUACCUUCUUCAUCUCUGUUUGUAUCUUCUUCUUUUAGUUACUCAUCUGAGUAUGAAGUGAACUACUGCUUGGUAUGUAUUUAGGUAGGUGAGUUUUUCACUUUGGCUCAAAGUAGCGCUGCAGCCCAGCAGAAAGAAUUUGAGGCAUAUAACAUCGGCGAUAGAUCCAUUGAUAGUCCAUUGCUAUUGGAGCAAGAAAUGGUCACAGAUCCAUCAAAGCAAGUUAAGCUGGGCUCUGUCAGUGGUCUGGUUCCAAGAGAAAAAGCAAUCGCUUUCGAGAGGAUUUUGUUCCGUUCAACCAGGGGUAAUGUGUUCCUGACGCAAUCUGUGGUCGAAGAGCCUGUUAUUGAUCCAUUAUCAGGAGAGAAGGUGGAGAAGAACGUAUUUGUUAUAUUUUACUCUGGUGAGAGAGCAAAGAACAAAGUUCUGAAAAUAUGUGAAGCUUUUGGAGCAAACCAAUACUCAUUCACAGAGGAUCUCGGCAAACAAUUUGAGAUGAUCACAGAGG
Molecule: non-coding RNA, 657 nt
Organism: Carica papaya (papaya)
Lineage: Eukaryota; Viridiplantae; Streptophyta; Magnoliopsida; Brassicales; Caricaceae
Source: RefSeq, a predicted model, not a curated record